CCCUUAGAUGUUCGGGGCCGCACGCGCGCUACACUGAAGGACUCAGCGUGUCUCUCCCCCUAUCCCGAAAGGGAUGGGCAACCCGUUGAACCACCUUCGUGCUAGGGAUUGGGGUUUGCAAUUAUCCCCCAUGAACGAGGAAUUCCCAGUAAGCGCGAGUCAUCAGCUCGCGUUGAUUACGUCCCUGCCCUUUGUACACACCGCCCGUCGCUACUACCGAUUGGAUGGUUUAGUGAGACCCUCGGAUCGGUCCCGACUCGGGGUGGGCUUCUGCCCCGGUCGUGGUUUCGCCGAGAAGACGGUCAAACUUGACUAUCUAGAGGAAGUAAAAGUCGUAACA
This 340-nucleotide ribosomal RNA is filed under the name uncultured eukaryote. RNAcentral describes it as "partial 18S ribosomal RNA". It matches the Rfam family "Eukaryotic small subunit ribosomal RNA", at positions 1470 to 1796 of the family's 1831-position model. The record is from RNAcentral.